GCCCGCAUAGCUCAGUCGGUAGAGCAUCAGACUUUUAAUCUGAGGGUCGCGGGUUCAAGUCCCUCUGCGGGUG
RNAcentral lists this transfer RNA (73 nucleotides) under Octopus sinensis (East Asian common octopus). RNAcentral describes it as "tRNA-Lys". It matches the Rfam family "tRNA". Rfam says of the family: Transfer RNA (tRNA) molecules are approximately 80 nucleotides in length. Lineage: Eukaryota; Metazoa; Mollusca; Cephalopoda; Octopoda; Octopodidae. The record is from RNAcentral.